CUCUCAGGCGACUCCCAUCUCCAGACCCAUUCCCAAGGCUCGGCAUUAGAAUAGAAGAGAAAGGAACAAAAAGGAAAGGAGAAUGGAGCAAAAAGGUGAGAAAUAAGAAAAUACAAGAGAAAGAUAAAGGAGAAAUUACAAAAGAGAAGUGUAAAAAUGAAAAAGGGAUAGAAAAAGAGAAAAUACCCUCUAGAAGAUGUAAGAACAAUCGAAAAAAAGGUUGGAGGAAUGACAAGAUCGGAAGAAAUGGUGGAACAAAAUGCUCCACAUCAACUGCAACAUAAAGGCUUUCUCGG
Molecule: long non-coding RNA, 296 nt
Filed under: Elaeis guineensis (African oil palm)
Lineage: Eukaryota; Viridiplantae; Streptophyta; Magnoliopsida; Arecales; Arecaceae
Description: long non-coding RNA (EGUI_LNC009775)
Source: RNAcentral